Molecule: ribosomal RNA, 198 nt
Filed under: Clostridium butyricum
Lineage: Bacteria; Bacillati; Bacillota; Clostridia; Eubacteriales; Clostridiaceae
Description: partial 16S ribosomal RNA
Rfam family: Bacterial small subunit ribosomal RNA
Source: RNAcentral
AUUGAGAGUUUGAUCCUGGCUCAGGACGAACGCUGGCGGCGUGCUUAACACAUGCAAGUCGAGCGAUGAAACUCCUUCGGGAGUGGAUUAGCGGCGGACGGGUGAGUAACACGUGGGUAACCUGCCUCAUAGAGGGGAAUAGCCUUUCGAAAGGAAGAUUAAUACCGCAUAAGAUUGUAGUACCGCAUGGUACAGCAA